ACGGGGGGUGCAAGCGUUGUUCGGAAUCAUUGGGCGUAAAGCGCGCGCAGGCGGCUUGGUAAGUCAGAUGUGAAAGCCCUGGGCUUAACCCAGGAAGUGCAUUUGAUACUGCCUCACUAGAGUACGGGAGAGGAAAGCGGAAUUCCUGGUGUAGAGGUGACAUCUGUAGAUAUCGGGAGGAGCACCAGUGGCGAAAGCGGCAUUCUGGACCAAUCCUGACGCUAAGCUGCGAAAGCUCUGGGAGGAAAAAG
RNAcentral lists this ribosomal RNA (251 nucleotides) under uncultured prokaryote. RNAcentral describes it as "partial 16S rRNA". It matches the Rfam family "Bacterial small subunit ribosomal RNA", at positions 525 to 775 of the family's 1533-position model. The record is from RNAcentral.